Molecule: ribosomal RNA, 205 nt
Filed under: uncultured bacterium
Lineage: Bacteria
Description: partial 16S ribosomal RNA
Rfam family: Bacterial small subunit ribosomal RNA
Source: RNAcentral
CACGCAGGCGGCCUGAGAAGUCCGACGUGAAAGCUCCUGGCUUAACUGGGAGAGGCCGUUGGAGACUGGCAGGCUUGAGGGAGUGAGAGGGAGGCGGAAUUCCCGGUGUAGUGGUGGAAUGCGUAGAUAUCGGGAAGAACACCAGUGGCGAAAGCGCCUUCUGGCACUCACCUGACGCUGAGGUGCGAAAGCGUGGGAGCGAACG